UGCUCCAGGUCCACAUCUCCUGUCCUUUACUCCUCACUGGAGCUGAACUCCAAGAUGGAUUCCCAAGCCAAGCUUCUCAUGGACCAGCUGGAGUCUGCUAAGGCCCUGGCACCUAAGUCACAGGGCCAGGAUGACCUCAGACUUACAACAAUCCCCUGCCUCAACCUCUGAGUGCUGAAAUGACAGAUGUUCCUGUCGCCAGCCGCCUGCACUCCGCAUCGGCCAGACUGAUUUCAGGAGGUGGUGACCUUUGAGGAUGUGGUCGUGAACUUCAGCAAUGAGGAGUGGCAUUUGCUGAGUCCAUCCCAAAAGAACCUCUACAGAGAUGUGAUGGGCGAAACCUUUAGGAACAUGACUGCAAUUGGAGGACUUGGAGAUAUCCAGGAAGCUGAAAAAGAAUGCAAAAUUUACUGGAGAUACUUAAGGUAAUUCGUACUCACAAGGAGAAGGAAUGUUCC
Long non-coding RNA from Cavia porcellus (domestic guinea pig), 458 nucleotides. RefSeq lists it as uncharacterized. The transcript has 5 exons. NCBI's taxonomy places the organism in Eukaryota, Metazoa, Chordata, Mammalia, Rodentia, Caviidae. The record is from RefSeq and is a predicted model, not a curated record.